RNAcentral lists this ribosomal RNA (481 nucleotides) under uncultured bacterium. RNAcentral's name for it is "partial 16S ribosomal RNA". It matches the Rfam family "Bacterial small subunit ribosomal RNA", at positions 30 to 507 of the family's 1533-position model. The record is from RNAcentral.
AUUGAACGCUGGCGGCAUGCCUUACACAUGCAAGUCGAACGGUAACGGGCCUUCGUUUGCCGACGAGUGGCGAACGGGUGAGUAAUACAUCGGAACGGGCCCGAUCGCUGGGGAUACGAGGCGAAAGCUUUGCUAAUACCCCAUACGCUCUACGGAUGAAAGCAGGGGACCGUAAGGCCUUGCGCGGACGGAUCGGCCGAUGGCAGAUUAGGUAGUUGGUGGGUUAAAGGCUUACCAAGGCGACGAUCUGUAGCUGGUCUGAGAGGAUGAUCAGCCACACUGGGACUGAGACACGGCCCAGACUCCUACGGGAGGCAGCAGUGGGGAAUUUUCGACAAUGGGCGCAAGCCUGAUCCAGCAAUGCCGCGUGCAGGAUGAAGGUCUUCGGGUUGUAAAAUGCUUUUGUAAGGAACGAAAAGCCUUCUUUUAAUACAGGAGGGUCAUGACGGUACCGUAAGAAUAAGCCCCGGCUAACUACGUG